RNAcentral lists this ribosomal RNA (349 nucleotides) under Deronectes latus. Its description in RNAcentral is "partial 12S ribosomal RNA". Lineage: Eukaryota; Metazoa; Arthropoda; Insecta; Coleoptera; Dytiscidae. The record is from RNAcentral.
AAAAAAUCUAAAAAUUUUCAUCAAAGUAGUAUUAGUUAAGGUCUAGAAAUUUAAAAAUUUUGGCGGUGUUUUAGUCUAUUCAGAGGAACCUGUCCUAUAAUUGAUAAUCCACGAUAAAUUGUACUUAAUUAAAAAAUUUGUAUAUCAUCGUUAUAAAAUAUUUUAGAAGGAUAAAAUAUUUAUAAUUUUUUAUAAUAAAAUAUAUCAGAUCAAGGUGCAGUUUAUAUUUAAGAAGAGAUGGGUUACAAUAAAUUUAUUUAAAUGGAUUUAAAUAUUAAAAUUUUAAUGAAAGUGGAUUUGAAAGUAAGAUAAUUAAAAUAUUUUAUUUGAUUUUAGCUCUAAAAUGUGU